GUCCGAACAGGCUACAGUUAAUAUUUAGGCUACAAAAAUGUACUGAAUUAUGUUUUAAGUCAACUGUGCAUGUCAUGGCUUUGAGACACUUGGAUUGCAGUGGACAAGCAGUAGAUCAAGGACCUGGACAAAGGACCAUGAGUCUGCCUCAUCACAUCCGAGAAAAGGAGGGUCAAGACCUGUGAAAAAGAGGACACCUACAGAGGACCAGGAGUCUGAUACAUCACAGCCAGAAGAAA
Long non-coding RNA from Gadus morhua (Atlantic cod), 239 nucleotides. RefSeq lists it as uncharacterized. NCBI's taxonomy places the organism in Eukaryota, Metazoa, Chordata, Actinopteri, Gadiformes, Gadidae. The transcript has 3 exons. The record is from RefSeq and is a predicted model, not a curated record.